RNAcentral lists this ribosomal RNA (253 nucleotides) under uncultured bacterium. RNAcentral describes it as "partial 16S ribosomal RNA". It matches the Rfam family "Bacterial small subunit ribosomal RNA", at positions 524 to 776 of the family's 1533-position model. The record is from RNAcentral.
UACGGGGGGGGCAAGCGUUGUUCGGAAUUACUGGGCGUAAAGGGCUUGUAGGUGGCCAACUAAGUCAGACGUGAAAUCCCUCGGCUUAACCGGGGAACUGCGUCUGAUACUGGAUGGCUUGAGUGUGGGAGAGGGAUGCGGAAUUCCAGGUGUAGCGGUGAAAUGCGUAGAUAUCAGGAGGAAUACCGGUGGCGAAAGCGACUCUCUGGACGGCAACUGACGCUGAGGCACGAAAGCGUGGGGAGCAAACAGG